GCGCCGCCUCCUGCUCCUCCCGCCGCUGCUUCCGCCCUGAGUCACUGCCUGUGCAGCUCCGGCCGCCUGGCUCCCCAUACUAGCUGCCGAUAUUUGGAGUUCUUACAACAUGGCAGACAUUGACAACAAAGAACAGUCUGAACUUGAUCAAGAUUUGGAUGAUGUUGAAGAAGUAGAAGAAGAAGAAACUGGUGAAGAAACAAAAAUCAAAGCACAUCAGCUAACUGUUCAGGUGAUGCAAAAUCCUCAGAUUCUUGCAGCCCUUCAAGAAAGACUUGAUGGUCUGGUAGAAACAACAGGAUACACUGAAAGCCUGCCUAGGGUAGUUAAAAGAUGAGUGAAGGCUCUCAAAAACCUGCAAGUUAAAUGUGCACAGAUAGAAGCCAAAUUCUAUAAGGAAGUUCACGAUCUUGAAAGGAAGUAUGCUGUUCUCUAUCAGCCUCUGUUUGAUAAGCGAUUUGAGAUCAUUAAUGCAAUUUAUGAACCUACGGAAGAAGAAGGUGAAUGGAAACCAGAUGAAGAAGAUGAGAUUUCGGAGGAAUUGAAAGAAAAGGCCAAGAUUGAAGAUGAGAAAAAGGAUGAAGAAAAAGAAGACCCCAAAGGAAUCCCUGAAUUUUGGUUAACUGUUUUUAAGAAUGUUGACUUGCUCAGUGAUAUGGUUCAGGAACACAAUGAACCUAUUCUGAAGCACUUGAAAGAUAUUAAAGUGAAGUUCUCAGAUGCUGGCCAGCCUAUGAGUUUUGCCUUAGAAUUUCACUUUGAACCCAAUGAGUAUUUUACAAAUGAAGUGCUGACAAAGACAUACAGGAUGAGGUCAGAACCAGAUGAUUCUGAUCCCUUUGCUUUUGAUGGACCAGAAAUUAUGGGUUGUACAGGGUGCCAGAUAGAUUGGAAAAAAGGAAAGCAUGUCACUUUGAAAACCACUAAGCAGCAGCAGAAACACAAGGGACGCAGGACAGUUCGUACUGUGACUAAAACAGUUUCCAAUUACUCUUUCUUUUUUUGCCCCUCCUGAAGUUCCCAAGAGUGGAGAUCUGGAUGCUGCUGCUGAAGAUAUCCGUGCUGCAGACUUCGAAAUUGGUCACUUUUUAUGUGAGCGUACAAUCCCAAGAUCAGUGUUAUACUUUACUGGAGAAGCUACUGAAGAUGAUGAUGAUGAUGAUGAUGAUGAUGAUGAUGAAGGUGAAGCAGCAGAUGAGGUAAUGUUUACCAAAUGAGCAAAUAUGUUUAACACAUUGAGAAGCAAACUGAAUGACUUAUGUAUUCCUUUGCUAUAAUCAUUCUGUGAUUUGGGAUAAAAAACAUUUUGGAAAAUAUGAUUUUAGAAUUCUACAGCCAAACAAUGUAUGUAUAAGGUUUCAAUAAAUUGCAAAACUAAAAAAAAAAAAAAAAACUGGCUGGAGACAAGGAACACCACUGAGUAUAAUGACACUGACUUGAGCUAUGGAGUGUGGAGGUGGAGACAUGGCCUGGAGCAGAGCUGUCCACCAUAACUCUGUGUGAAAAUGGCAAUCCUCUGUGGCCACUGUUCAUGUGGCUGUCACAUGUGGCAGAUAAGUGCUUGAAGUGAAUAUGGCUAGGGUACCUAAUGAACCGUUUUCAAGUAUUCUAAGUAGCUUUAGAUAGCUAGUGGCUACUGAUUAGAAUUUAGUCAUGACACCAGAAGAGAACACAGGAGUAACUAUAGACAGAAAUGGCUGAGGACUAUGCAUAGAGCCUUCACCUCCUGGUGCUUUGUGAAAGAUCUAGCUGAGAAGACCUUGAAGGAGAGGCUAGGGAGGGAAAACAAGUGUGGGAUUAGGAAAGCCAAGUGAAGAGGCGCUUUAAAGAGGGAGCGAGUGACAGCACCAACCAAUUUUUAAGAUGGAGACUGAGAAUUAAUCUUUGGCUUUACACCAUUACCUACAACUAAAGAUACCACACUCUCUGCCAGUUUUUGUAUUUUUCUUGCCUAUUACACAGAUCAGGAAUGCCAGUAUAAUACUGAGUAGAAAUGGUGAGAAUUCUGUUGCCCCGAAGUAGGAUGUUACCAUGGUUUCUGUGUAAACACACCGUCAGUGUUAAAGACAUGCUUUUCUAGUCAGUUUGGUGUGACAGAUGAAGUUUCAUCAUAUGCAUCUACUGAGGUGAUUUUGUCAUUUUCCAGCUUAAUUUGGUUAAUGUGGUAAGUUAAUUACAUCAAUUUGCCCCCACUGACACACAUUUAAAAAUCCUCAUAGAAAUCACCAAGAACAUUAGCAUCUAACCUAGGAAGCUACAGGAGCCCCAAAGCCUGCUCAGCUGACGAGAUGGGGCUCAGGGCCCUGCAGUGAUCCUGCUGGCCUGCCAGCCACUGAACCACUUCAGGCAGCAAAGGAGUGGGUAUGAGUGCGAUCCUGGAUUCUGCAUCAUCUCAAUCACACCUGUUUAGUUUCAAUUAAUAAUUUACACCAAUGGUACUGGGAAGACUAAAGGAAUGUGCAGUGAUUCUGAGGAAGCCAUGGACCUACCCAGGUAAGAGGUCUUAGGGCUGGGAGUGGGGGAGGGAAAUCCCUUUCGUCCAGUACUGGGCUGGCCAAGAACCACAAACCUAGCCAAACAAGCCAUGGGGCCAAAACGCUGGGCCUGCUCUCUCUGCCUCUAAACUACAGAUGGGUUCCUGCUGUCUCAAGUGGAGAGAGAGGCAGAGCUUGUGUUUGGAACUCCUUAGUGAACUAACAGCAUGACAGCUGUUUCCAAUCCCUUGGCUAAGGGAUGUGAAAAAGAUGAGGCGAGGGAGCUCUGGAGCAGGGAGACACGAGGAUGACAGCAUUGCCAGCCCUUGUGUGGUCACUGGCUAGUAAGCCACUGUUCAGCCCCAUGACAUGACUUGUUUCCCAUCACUGGGCAGGAGUAGUCAGAGGUCUAGAAUGAAAUGACUCAAACCCUCAAUUUGUGAAGCUGAGUUUUCAGGCUGCCUCAGAUUUUUAGUUACACCAACUAAUAGAUCACAGUGAGGCUCUACCAGGAUCCACCUUCUUACUUAUUGGCAGAGUGAAUGGUCUAAAAUGGAGACAAGGAGCCUGGACUGCUUUGGGUUCAUGGAAGCCACAUGGGUAGAGAGAGGAAGCCAAAGGAGUGGUCCAAGGCCUUCAUGGCUCUAAGAUUGCUAUCUGUGAAUUGUGCAUUGGUUUACUGAAAAGGAAUCUAUACUUCAGCUGAGACAUUCUCAAUUCUAGUGUGAGUUUUGUUUUUCUCAGUACAUUAUAAAGGAGACAAAAAUCCUGUGAAGGAAAGCAAGGGCACUAGAGUGUCCUUAAGACCAGUUCUGCCUCAUAUUAACUGGAAGACCAUGCCAUGUAGGUCAUGGAAGGGCUCGGUGUCCCUACCUGCAGGGUGGACAGGAUGGUCUAGAACAUUUCACCCUGAGAUUCUGUGUGGUCACUAAAAUGCUUGAUAUUUGAGGUUAUUAAAAAAAAAAUAGGUACACUCUUCCCACCCCCAACCCAGACUGUACUACCACUCAAUGAUACAAUGCCUCCU
Callithrix jacchus (white-tufted-ear marmoset) is the source of this 3501-nucleotide RNA transcript. It is a transcript of the gene named nucleosome assembly protein 1-like 1 pseudogene, with no coding region annotated. Lineage: Eukaryota; Metazoa; Chordata; Mammalia; Primates; Cebidae. The record is from RefSeq and is a predicted model, not a curated record.